GAUGAAGAACGUAGCGAAAUGCGAUAAGUAAUGUGAAUUGCAGAAUUCAGUGAAUCAUCGAAUCUUUGAACGCACAUUGCGCCCUCUGGUAUUCCGGGGGGCAUGCCUGUUCGAGCGUCAUUAUAACCACUCAAGCUCUCGCUUGGUAUUGGGGUUCGCGGUUCCGCGGCCCCUAAAAUCAGUGGCGGUGCCUGUCGGCUCUACGCGUAGUAAUACUCCUCGCGAAUGAGUCCGGUAGGUCUACUUGCCAGCAACCCCCAAUUUUUACAGGUUGACCUCGGAUCAGGUAGGGAUACCCGCUGAACUUAAGCAUAUCAAUAAGCGGAGGA
RNAcentral lists this unclassified non-coding RNA (329 nucleotides) under soil metagenome. RNAcentral's name for it is "partial contains 5.8S ribosomal RNA, internal transcribed spacer 2, and large subunit ribosomal RNA". The stretch from base 1 to 120 matches the Rfam family "5.8S ribosomal RNA", at positions 35 to 154 of the family's 154-position model. The record is from RNAcentral.